GACCCAGUGGCGGAUGGUCCGCGUCUGCCUUCAUUGCUAUCGUUCCACUGAGCCGACAGUAGAAGCCGCCCGUUCGACUCGGGCCUGGGUUA
Molecule: non-coding RNA, 92 nt
Organism: Mycena latifolia
Lineage: Eukaryota; Fungi; Basidiomycota; Agaricomycetes; Agaricales; Mycenaceae
Source: the annotation of a GenBank genome assembly